This 475-nucleotide ribosomal RNA is filed under the name uncultured Magnetococcus sp. RNAcentral describes it as "bacterial SSU rRNA". It matches the Rfam family "Bacterial small subunit ribosomal RNA", at positions 79 to 587 of the family's 1533-position model. The record is from RNAcentral. Lineage: Bacteria; Pseudomonadati; Pseudomonadota; Magnetococcia; Magnetococcales; Magnetococcaceae.
UUCGGUCCGCUGACGAGUGGCGAACGGGUGUGUAACGCGUGGAUACCUGCCCCGAGGUGGGGGAUAACAUCUGGAAACAGAUGCUAAUACCGCACGCUCUCCAAGGAGGAAAGGCUUCGGCCGCCUUGGGAGGGGUCCGCGUCGGAUUAGCUUGUUGGUGAGGUAACGGCUCACCAAGGCGACGAUCCGUAGCUGGUCUGAGAGGAUGAUCAGCCACACUGGGACUGAGACACGGCCCAGACUCCUACGGGAGGCAGCAGUGGGGAAUAUUGCGCAAUGGGGGAAACCCUGACGCAGCAAUACCGCGUGAGCGAUGAAGGCCUUCGGGUUGUAAAGCUCUUUUAGUAGGGACGAUAGUGACGGUACCUACAGAAAAAACUCCGGCUAACUCCGUGCCAGCAGCCGCGGUAAUACGGAGGGAGUAAGCGUUGUUCGGAAUUACUGGGCGUAAAGGGCGCGUAGGCGGUCUUGCAAG